RNAcentral lists this long non-coding RNA (1008 nucleotides) under Rattus norvegicus (Norway rat). Its description in RNAcentral is "long non-coding RNA NONRATT011323". Lineage: Eukaryota; Metazoa; Chordata; Mammalia; Rodentia; Muridae. The record is from RNAcentral.
GUGUGCAUGUGCCAGGAAGAGGACGUUGCAAGUCAUGAUAGUCCCCCCAUAUUCGUUCACAGAGAUCCUCUCCCUUUCUGUGGCCUUUACACGGACACACUGUCAUUUCUUCACAUUGAGCACAUAGACUGCUAAGCUCUUUUCAGUCGAUGUUGUGGUGAAUAAUCUUGUGCCAUUUAUUGUCCUGAUGUUAGAUACAACAGCUUCUUAAAAUGCCUAGAAAGGAGGCCGCUCUUCGAAGAUGGAUGCAUGCGGGGUGUUUUUAGUUUUGAAAUAAUCUUACCCCAUCAUGAACAAAGAGGUUUUUGUUAGCAUUUGUCCUCAGCAGUUUAUCUCGAGGGCCAUGCCAUGGCUGUUGUGUUACAGCUUUAUUUUUUGCCUACGUAAAUAUGAGAAGCUGGGUGAUGUGGCACACAUCAUUAACCCCAGCACUUGGGAGGCAAAGGCUAGAGGACUUGAGUUCCAGGCCAGCCAGAGCUGCAGAGAAACCCUGUCUCAGAAAAGUAGGUAGGUAGGUAGGUAGUCAGAUAGUCUGUGUCUGAGGGGCAGAUAGAUAAACAAACAGGCAGGCAGACAGACAGACAGAAGUCCAUGUCUAAAGGGCAGAUGCAGGAAGUACAGCUACAGUAUGGCAGCCAUAGUAGCCUGAGGAGUCCCCUUAACUUUAUAGGGACCUGGAUGCAGGUUAUGCUGAGAUUAGUGGCUUCAGUGCAGAAGAGUGAGUACUAGGAGAGUUGGGAUUUAGUAAAGGUACUUUAAACUGGUUUAAGCUGGAGGAUUACAAGAAAGGGAGUUGCUAGGAGAAAGUAAGGUUCUAGAGAGUACAGAUGUGAACCUUGAGUGUCACAGCCACCUAUCUCAUCUUAAAUACUAGUGUUAGGAUUCAGACAGGGCUCAAAUUUACAUCUCGAGAGAUCUGUUAAGAAACCUGAGUGUGAGGGGGUUGGGGAUUUAGCUCAGCAAGGCCCUGGGUUCGGUCCCCAGCUCCGGAAAAAAAAAAAAAAAAAA